Long non-coding RNA from Oncorhynchus tshawytscha (Chinook salmon), 1108 nucleotides. Lineage: Eukaryota; Metazoa; Chordata; Actinopteri; Salmoniformes; Salmonidae. The record is from Ensembl.
CACAUCUCUGACUGCACAUCUCUGACUGCACAUCUCUGACUGCACAUCUCUGACCUCACAUCUCUGACUCCACAUCUCUGACCUCACAUCUCUGACUGCACAUCUCUGACUGUACAUCUCUGACUGUACAUCUCUGACUCCACAUCUCUGACUGUACAUCUCUGACUCCACAUCUCUGACUGUACAUCUCUGACUGCACAUCUCUGACUCCACAUCUCUGACUGCACAUCUCUGGGUAGGAGAGGAGAGCCGAGUCCUUAUUUCCAGGCUGGACAGUCUCUCUGCUGCUUUGACUGAUGGCUUCCAGCCUGGUUGGGAACAAGUGUUACAUGGAAACCUGGUUGAUUUCCUAUAACUCCUGCAUUUCAUGUUUAGACUCCUGUGGCUCAUACAACAGUAUUACAGCUAUCUACCUAUAUUACAGUAACAACACUCAAGGACUAUUUCAGGAUUUCUUUAUUAAGAUUAAAAGUAUAGGCUUUUGUGUCAAAUGCUGUUUUAGCAGUAUUGUAGUUUGAUACUGGAGUCAGGCUAGAGAGGUAAUGUUUUUUGCUUGAUUUUUAUAACAGGAAGUGUACUUACGUGGGACUAACUCUACUUCUAAGACUUCUUCGAUGUUAGGUAGGCCUAAUGUAUCCUGAAUUAAAUGACAUAUACCCCACACCAUUUACUAGAUGUUAGGUAGGCCUAAUGCAUCCUGAAUUAAAUGACAUAUACCCCACACCAUUCACUAGAUGUUAGGUAGGCCUAAUGCACCCUGAAUUAAAUGACAUAUACCCCACACCAUUUACUAGAUGUUAGGUAGGCCUAAUGCAUCCUGAAUUAAAUGACAUAUACCCCACACCAUUUACUGGAUGUUAGGUAGGCCUAAUGUAUCCUGAAUUAAAUGAUAUAUACCCCACACCAUUUACUGGAUGUUAGGUAGGCCUAAUGUAUCCUGAAUUAAAUGACAUAUACCCCACACCAUUUACUAGAUGUUAGGUAGGCCUAAUGCAUCCUGAAUUAAAUGACAUAUACCCCACACCAUUUACUAGAUGUUAGGUAGGCCUAAUGCAUCCUGAAUUAAAUGACAUAUACCCCACACCAUUUACUAGAUGUUAGGUAGGCC